GAUGAAGAACGCAGCGAAAUGCGAUAAGUAGUGUGAAUUGCAGAAUUCCGUGAAUCAUCGAAUCUUUGAACGCACAUUGCGCCUUCUGGUAUUCCGGAAGGCAUGCCUGUUCGAGAGUCAUUAACAACCGUUUCGAUCCCUUUCUUUCAGAAAUUACAAAGAGGAAAAGGGUUUGGUUAUGGUGGAGGAGGGAAAGGGAGCGUUUAGCCUGUAAAAAAAGAGGCUGUGUUCCGCCUCCCCCCCAAAAUUGUACAGGCGGUCGUGUGCGACCACGCAUCGAGGUGUUGUAAAAGCUGCCACGGCACUUUUCACCUGUGCAGUGCGAGAUUGGCCAGCCGGUUUAAAAACCCCUCCAAACAAUCAAAGGUUGACCUCGGAUCAGGUAGGGAUACCCGCUGAACUUAAGCAUAUCAAUAAGCGGAGGA
This 425-nucleotide unclassified non-coding RNA is filed under the name soil metagenome. RNAcentral describes it as "partial contains 5.8S ribosomal RNA, internal transcribed spacer 2, and large subunit ribosomal RNA". The stretch from base 1 to 120 matches the Rfam family "5.8S ribosomal RNA", at positions 35 to 154 of the family's 154-position model. The record is from RNAcentral.